Molecule: long non-coding RNA, 1881 nt
Organism: Arachis stenosperma
Lineage: Eukaryota; Viridiplantae; Streptophyta; Magnoliopsida; Fabales; Fabaceae
Exons: 8
Source: RefSeq, a predicted model, not a curated record
UGAAACCCUAAAACAAUGAAACACCAACUUAAAACAAUGCAGCAUUCAUUUUCUCCUAAAAGCUAAGGCGCCGUCAUCAGAUUCAUCUUCUCCAUCGAACCCUAAAAUAACGAAACCCUAAAGAUGCAGCGUUCAUCUUCUCCUAAAAGCUAAGGCGCCGUCAUCAGCUUCAUCUUCUCCAUGGAACCCUAAAAGCUGAGGCGCCGUCAUCACCUUCAUCUUCUCGAUAGAACCCAGCCUUGGCGCGUCGUUCAUCCAUCUACAACGAUCAGCCUCAUCUUCUCGAACCAGCCUUGGCGUCGUUCAUCCAGCUUCAGCGUUCAGCCUCAUCUUCUGGAACCCAGCCCUGGUCGCGGAUCUGCUCGCCUCUCUGUGUCGGGGUUCUGCUCGCCUCUCAUCCCGCAUCUGGCUCUGCUCGCCUCUCAUCCCGCAUCUGGCAUCAAGAUGUGUUUGAAUACUUUGAAUAUGUCUCAAGUUACUAGUGUGAUAUGCUUUCUAUGGCUCUAGCAAUUGAUGAAGGUUGCUUUGUGCAUUACUGUCAGUAGUAGUAUUGGAUGGAAAUGCGACACAUAAUGUUCACAUAAAUUGGCACACAUCAACUUUAUAGGCACCAAUCAGCUUUCUAUGCUAAAACAUCCUUGAUCUGGGAGCAACAUUGUGUAGUUAUGAAAUGUUACUUUAGGUGGGUAAAGGACUAGUUUGGGGUUUGGUCAAUGAUAGUUUCAAAUUUUUGUUGGUUUUGACUUUGAAACUUCAUUCUUUCCCCUGUUUCUACAUUUUGAUUUCUGUCUCCAAAGGAGAAAAGAAAGAAAUACUAAAUAGGGGUUUCUUGAGGGUGUGAGUGUGUCUGGUGCACCGUCACCUAGAACGGUCUUGGUGCAGCAGUGUAUCCUUUAUGUAUUGGAUGUUCUAUGCAACUAUGAUGCUAUCAGUCUACUAAAAUUAAGGUCUCUUCUAUAGUGGCUAACAUUUACUGAUAGACUUAAAAAAUAAAGAGUUGCCCCUACUGCAUAAAGAUCUUUUUGCAUCUGGAUUACGCAAGAGAUCCAGCGUUCUCCUGUACGAUCCUCUUGGAACUGGCAGAACAUUAUUAGCAAAAGUUGUUGCUACUGAAUUUGUUAAAAACAAGUUCAAAUGGAAGCAUGCUUGGUCAGAUGUGAGCAGCAGUAAUAUAACUAAAGAUCUUGUUACAACUUUGAAAAAAAGAAAUAUCCUCCUUGUUACAAGGACAUAUGUUUCUGGAUCAAUGAAUCAUUUACUGAAAACAAGCUGUGUGAACUUGUUAGAGGAAUUGCUGGGGAUCUUGUAGAAGAGGGCAGUGAUAAAAACAAUGGAGCUCAUAAUGGAUGAUCACACUACUCAUGAAAUUUGAUAUUUUGUAACUAAAUAUAUAAAAGAAGUCGAUAUGUGACACUUGUUGAAAUUGCAAUUUUUAUUUACUUGUUAUGAUUUUACACUUUUUGGUACUUUGUCAUCAAAGCCUACUUUUGUGGUGACAAUUUUAUAUGUAUGUCUUUUUUCAUGGAAAAGUUUAUAUUUCUUGGAUUAAGUUCAAUAUAUAUAAUUUUAGUUGGGUCUAUAAUUUUAAAAUUAUAUAUGAAUUUUGCACGAAAUAUUAGGAAGAUUAAUGAAAAAAAAAAUUUUUUGACCAAACUUAUGGGUACGCUUAAAAUGGGUGGCUAUAUCUUAACUGUGGGCUCAACAAGCACGCUUAAUAAGUGUGGCAAUAACUUGGCAAUUGGUAUGUUUUAAAAGCGUACCCAUAUCCUAAUAUAUCGGCACGUUUUCUAAGCGUAGCUGUAUACUUUCGUAGUUAUAAAUAGCCACGCUUUUAGAGCAUAGCCAUACGUUUACCCUAUUGGCACCUUUAAAAAGUGUGAC